Molecule: RNA transcript, 3086 nt
Organism: Peromyscus leucopus (white-footed mouse)
Lineage: Eukaryota; Metazoa; Chordata; Mammalia; Rodentia; Cricetidae
Gene: Tmc6
Gene name: transmembrane channel like 6
Exons: 21
Source: RefSeq, a predicted model, not a curated record
CUUCCGGGCCUGCUGCCAUGUGGGCGGGUGGUGGGGCUACCUCCAGCUGCCAGUCUGGGAACCGUCAAACCUUGCCCCCCGGACCCUUAAUGACAGUCUGUUAAUGACUCUUCUGCUGGUGGAGCUGAAACUGCGGUUCCCCGGGGCGGGUACGCGCACAGAUGGUGUGGGGGUCCCAUUGGCUGCGUCUAGUCUCUGAGCUCCCUUAGGUCUGCAGACGGGCUGAGGGUGUACCACAGCCAUGGCUCAGCCACUGACUUUAGUCCUCAAUGUCCCAGAGACCACAGAGGACGAAGACAGCCGGGAGCCCAGUCCCUAUGAAGAGAGUGAAGUCCAUGACUCCUUCCACCAGCUCAUUCAAGAGCAGAGUCUUCGGGUGGCGGCCGAGGAGGGGCUGGAGCUGCUGCCCCUGGCUCCAGGCAGAGGUUACCAGACCCUCCCAAGGCCUGAAGGUGCCCCUGCCCACAGCAUGGCCACUCUCCGCAUCUUGGCCAGCAUGCCUAGUCGCACCAUUGGCCGCAGCCGUGGGGCCAUCAUCUCCCAGUACUACAACCGCACGGUGAGGCUCCGGCACAGGAGCAGCCGGCCCCUGCUGGGCAAUGUGGUACGCUCUGCCCGGCCCAGCCUUCGCCUCUAUGACCUGGAGCUGGACCACACACUCUUAGAGGACGAUGAGAAGCGGAGCCUGCUAGUGAAGGAGCUUCAGGGUCUGUCGGUGACCCAGCGGGACCACAUGGUCCGGAACAUGCCCUUGAGCCUGGGUGAGAAGCGCUGGCUUCGAGAGAAAAGUUGGAGCCCAAAGGGAAAGCAGAGGAGCCCACAGGGCCGAGGUGGGGUCUUUUCCUGCUGCACCAGGCUCAGAUACAGCUGCAUUCUGGCCCUGCACAGCCUGGGGCUGGUGUUGCUCUCAGGUCUGUAUGCUGCCAGGCCAUGGCGCUAUGCUCUGAAGCAGAUCGGCGGCCAGUUUGGCUCCAGUGUCCUCUCCUACUUCCUCUUCCUCAAGACCCUGUUGGCCUUCAACACACUGAUGUUGCUGCCUCUGCUGGCCUUCCUCGUGGGAGUGCAAGCUGUCUUCCCACCUGACCCGUCAGGCCCGGUCCCUACCUUCUCUGGUCUAGAACUCCUCACAGGCGGGGGCUGGUUCACACACACCGUCAUGUACUACGGCUACUACAGUAACACCACGCUGAGCCAAUCAUGUGCCUCCCCAUGGGAAAGUGGCCAGUGCAGCCCCAGGUUGGGCAGUCUGCCCUAUAACAUGCCACUGGCCUACCUCUUCACAGUGGGGGCUGUCUUCUUUAUGACCUGCAUCACUCUGGUAUACAGCAUGUCCCACUCCUUUGGGGAGAGCUACCGGGUUGGCAGUACUAAAGGCAUCCACGCUCUUAUGGUCUUCUGCUCCUGGGACUACAAGGUGACUCAGAAGCGGGCCUCCCGUGUCCAGCAGGACAGCAUCUGCACUCAGCUGAAGGAGCUGCUGGCUGAAUGGCAGAUGCGAAAGCGCCCCCGGAGCGCGUGUGGGCAGCUGUGGCAGGUGGUCGUGCUAGGCCUGGGAUGGCUGCUGUGUCUGGGCACCACGAUGGGCUGUGCAGUGGCUGUCCUCACCUUCUCGGAGGUCAUGGUUCAGAGAUCUGCUGCUGGUGACCAGGGGUUGGAGCUGCUGGCCCUGCCCCUGGUGGUCAGUGUCCUUAAUCUGGGUGCUUCUUACCUGUUCCGUGGUCUGGCCACUCUGGAGCGGCAUGACUCCCCCGUGUUGGAAGUAUACAUGGCCAUCUGCAGGAGUCUCAUCCUGAAGAUGGCUGUCCUGGGUGUGCUUUGCUAUCACUGGCUGGGCCACAGGGUGGCCACCUUGCAGGGCCAGUGCUGGGAGGACUUUGUGGGCCAGGAACUGUACCGCUUCCUGGUCGUGGAUUUCAUCUUCACACUCUUGGACUCUCUUUUUGGGGAGCUGGUAUGGAGGCUCAUCUCAGAGAAGAAGCUGAAAAGGAGGCAGAAGCCUGAGUUCGACAUUGCUCGGAAUGUUCUGGACCUGAUUUAUGGGCAGACACUUACCUGGCUGGGUGUCCUCUUCUCACCGCUCCUGCCCGCAGUGCAGAUACUCAGGCUGCUUUUCCUCUUCUACGUUAAGAAGGCAAGCCUGAUGGCCAACUGCCAGGCACCUCGCCGACCCUGGCUGGCGUCACACAUGAGCACCGUCUUCCUCACCCUGCUCUGCUUCCCGUCGUUCCUGGGCGCGGCUGUUUUCCUCUGCUAUGCCGUCUGGCAAGUGAAGCCCUCAAGCAUUUGUGGCCCCUUCCGGACUCUGAACACCAUGUACGAGGCGGGCACGGUCUGGGUGCGUCGCCUGGAGCAUGCCGGCUCCGGGGCCUCCUGGCUGCCCUGGUUGUACCACUUCCUGGUGGAGAACACUUUCUUCCUUUUCCUCAUGUCAGCCCUGCUGUUGUCUGUCAUCUACCUCAACAUCCAGGUGGUGAAAGGGCAGCGGAAGAUCAUCCGCCUGCUCAGGGAGCAGAUCCGGAACGAGGGAGAGGACAAGAUCUUCCUGAUCAACAAGCUUCACUCUGUUUAUGAGGAUGGGGAGCGGAGCAGGACACAGUGAGGUUGAUGUCCUGCACUGGAGGCAUCUCAGAACACCCAGUCAUCAUGGACCUCAGGCUAUCUUGUGGGGGAACCCAAGAUCCCCUGUGUUGAUGGCAGGCAUUUCCUGAGGGGGCUGUUACUGUAAGCCGCUCCACACAAGGCCCAUGAUACUCCAGUUUUGGACCACAAAGUGGCCAGUUGAUGUGGUCCAGCAGCUCUCCCCGGCAAAUGCCUGGAAUAUAAUCCCUGGUGGCUCUUCACACUACUCUGCCAGUCUGGCCUUCACUGCCCUAGAGCCUUCAACCUGGGAGGCCUGAGAUGCAUCACCUGGGACUCAGGGCAUCCACUGAGCCCCUAACCACAGAGGUCAGAGGGACUUUGACAUUGGUUGAGGUUACUCUCCUUUCUGGCAGAACUCAGGAGGCUACCACGGCAACUGCCCUGCUUGUGGAUGGAGGGGACAGAAAGGAACCUUGCACCCCCAGUCACUGUGACCCUUCAAGCAG